This 254-nucleotide ribosomal RNA is filed under the name uncultured bacterium. Its description in RNAcentral is "partial 16S ribosomal RNA". It matches the Rfam family "Bacterial small subunit ribosomal RNA", at positions 524 to 776 of the family's 1533-position model. The record is from RNAcentral.
UACGUAGGGUGCGAGCGUUGUCCGGAAUUAUUGGGCGUAAAGGGCUCGUAGGCGGUCUGUCACGUCGGGAGUGAAAACUUGGGGCUUAACCCUGAGCUUGCGGUCGAUACGGGCAUGACUGGAGUUCGGCAGGGGAGACUGGAAUUCCUGGUGUAGCGGUGAAAUGCGCAGAUAUCAGGAGGAACACCGGUGGCGAAGGCGGGUCUCUGGGCCGAUACUGACGCUGAGGAGCGAAAGCGUGGGGAGCGAACAGG